GGCAAUCUGCCCUGCACUCUGGGACAAGCCCUGGAAACGGGGUCUAAUACCGGAUAUGACUGUCCAUCGCAUGGUGGAUGGUGUAAAGCUCCGGCGGUGCAGGAUGAGCCCGCGGCCUAUCAGCUUGUUGGUGAGGUAGUGGCUCACCAAGGCGACGACGGGUAGCCGGCCUGAGAGGGCGACCGGCCACACUGGGACUGAGACACGGCCCAGACUCCUACGGGAGGCAGCAGUGGGGAAUAUUGCACAAUGGGCGAAAGCCUGAUGCAGCGACGCCGCGUGAGGGAUGACGGCCUUCGGGUUGUAAACCUCUUUCAGCAGGGAAGAAGCGAAAGUGACGGUACCUGCAGAAGAAGCGCCGGCUAACUACGUGCCAGCAGCCGCGGUAAUACGUAGGGCGCAAGCGUUGUCCGGAAUUAUUGGGCGUAAAGAGCUCGUAGGCGGCUUGUCACGUCGGUUGUGAAAGCCCGGGGCUUAACCCCGGGUCUGCAGUCGAUACGGGCAGGCUAGAGUUCGGUAGGGGAGAUCGGAAUUCCUGGUG
RNAcentral lists this ribosomal RNA (541 nucleotides) under Streptomyces sp. Its description in RNAcentral is "bacterial SSU rRNA". It matches the Rfam family "Bacterial small subunit ribosomal RNA", at positions 120 to 675 of the family's 1533-position model. Lineage: Bacteria; Bacillati; Actinomycetota; Actinomycetes; Kitasatosporales; Streptomycetaceae. The record is from RNAcentral.